RNAcentral lists this ribosomal RNA (450 nucleotides) under uncultured Sphingopyxis sp. Its description in RNAcentral is "bacterial SSU rRNA". It matches the Rfam family "Bacterial small subunit ribosomal RNA", at positions 20 to 516 of the family's 1533-position model. The record is from RNAcentral. Lineage: Bacteria; Pseudomonadati; Pseudomonadota; Alphaproteobacteria; Sphingomonadales; Sphingopyxidaceae.
CUGCUCAGAACGAACGCUGGCGGCAUGCCUAACACAUGCAAGUCGAACGAGACCUUCGGGUCUAGUGGCGCACGGGUGCGUAACGCGUGGGAAUCUGCCCUUGGGUGCGGAAUAACUUUCCGAAAGGAAUGCUAAUACCGCAUAAUGUCGCAAGACCAAAGAUUUAUCGCCCAAGGAUGAGCCCGCGUAAGAUUAGCUAGUUGGUGGGGUAAAAGCCUACCAAGGCGACGAUCUUUAGCUGGUCUGAGAGGAUGAUCAGCCACACUGGGACUGAGACACGGCCCAGACUCCUACGGGAGGCAGCAGUGGGGAAUAUUGGACAAUGGGCGAAAGCCUGAUCCAGCAAUGCCGCGUGAGUGAUGAAGGCCCUAGGGUUGUAAAGCUCUUUUACCCGGGAUGAUAAUGACAGUACCGGGAGAAUAAGCUCCGGCUAACUUCGUGCCAGCAGCC